UCUUGGCAGGCUCAGUUAGUAGAGCAUGAGAUUCUUAAUCUCAGGGUCAAGGGUUCAUACCUCAUGCUGGGCA
Molecule: transfer RNA, 73 nt
Filed under: Mus musculus (house mouse)
Lineage: Eukaryota; Metazoa; Chordata; Mammalia; Rodentia; Muridae
Rfam family: tRNA
About the family: Transfer RNA (tRNA) molecules are approximately 80 nucleotides in length. Their secondary structure includes four short double-helical elements and three loops (D, anti-codon, and T loops).
Source: Rfam by way of RNAcentral